This is an RNA transcript of Ostrinia furnacalis (Asian corn borer), 1699 nucleotides long. RefSeq lists it as uncharacterized. The record is from RefSeq and is a predicted model, not a curated record. Lineage: Eukaryota; Metazoa; Arthropoda; Insecta; Lepidoptera; Crambidae. The transcript has 3 exons.
GCACAUCGAUGUCAUUGAUAACACUUCAAACACCCCUGCAAUUUGUAGCUAUAAAUAAAUCGUCUAGAAACUUCUAUCGACAACCACCCACGGGCAACCCUACGCGCGAGGGGUGGCCACCCCACCCCUUCCCCUGUCUGUAGAUGAUUGAUUAUUCAGUGCUCGUUUCGCUCCGGUCGCAGAAACAGGUGUUCUGUAAACCAGAAAAAUGGAGUUCAUUUAUACCAAUGACCAGUAUUGCGAAAUGAUACGCAUGCUAGCUUUGUGCGGCGACAACGUCGAAACGGCGUGCGAAAGGUUCCACGAGAAGUUCCAAAUUCGCGUAUCUCCGCUCACGAUGGAGAACGCAACUAUUAGGCUACGCCAGCACGGCACUGUACGUCAGGAAGAAGAAUUUGCCACGUUAUUCCAACAAGACUACCCUGACAUGGAUUUGCAAGAUGACAUAUGCGACUAUUUCCAACUAAAUCCAAGAGGCAGCGCCCGACGCGCGGCCAAACGCAUCGGCUGCAACCAGGUCCAAAUCUGGCGCGUCCUGAUGGACGAUUUCCAGCACCCAAUCCAUUUCAGGCGUAAUAACGAUGAUAUUAUAACCCCAGUUGAAGGCCAGCCCCGGGUGAUGUUCUGCCAAUGGCUCAUACGGAAUCUUGAUAAGAACAUCCUUUGGACAGGCGAAAAGAACUUCACUAAGAAUGAAACUCGUGAAGUACCUUACCCUUCCAUGGAUAAUCCGCCUGAAGACUUCAUCACACAGAACGUGUGGGGCGCUAUCAUUGGCCGAUACAUCAUCGGUCCAGUUUUUUUCGAGAGAAACAUGACUGAGCAUACCUACGAAGAUUUUAUCAGGUAUACUCUGCAGAAGAAGAUCUCUGAAUGGAUGGAAGACGAGGAUAUCCCUUUGGGGUGCACAAAGGACAUCUACUUCCAGAAUCCUGGUGCGGGGCCGUAUUUCCUGAAGGGAUCCAGGCACAUCCUUGAGAAAGAGUACGGGAUGAGGUGGAUAGGCCGCAUGGCUCCCAACCCGUGGCCUCAGCGGUCGCAUGACCUGACUCCAGUGGACUUUUUCCUCUGGCCUCGCGUUAAGGCCUAUGUAUAUGCCAACGGAUAUGAGCCUGCUAACGAGGCGGAAUUGCGCGAGAAAAUCAAGGAGGCUUUCGACGAAUUGAGGAAGGAUGAAGAAGUUCUGCCCAAUUUGAAAGAUAUUAUUCGGAGGCGGGCGUUCCUUUGCAUCCAUCGAGUGGGCAGGCGUUUUGAGCACUUGCUCCCAGCUGAGGACAGGCUAGUCUACUAAAGCUGGCACUUCCCAAGCACACCUACAAUAUAAAAAUAGUCCUUUCAUAAUAAUAUACACCUAUUUAUCAGUGUUACAUAUACAUCGUAUAAUAUAAUCAGUGGUUCUUAUAAUAUUAUAGUGGUACUCAAAAGUGUAUACGCAUAAAUAGUGAUAAAAACGUUAUUUCUAUAGCUACUCGUUACCUAUUAGUUGUUUCCCUAAAGACUUUCAACGACCAAAAUCAUAUUUUGAUGUCUUUACAUUGAAGAUUGGGGGAAUGCAACGUGUCCUUACGAGCGAGCAUCGAAGGCCUGUUCAGACACACGACUGAGCUGUCGGUGGACAAGCUGGCGAGAGCUGACAAGACUCUCCUUAAUGUGCAGGAAAGCAUGAGAGCUACGAACGCGAAUUUGUCCUUAGCGAGAG